This 80-nucleotide non-coding RNA is filed under the name chicken gut metagenome. RNAcentral's name for it is "Glycine riboswitch". It matches the Rfam family "Glycine riboswitch aptamer", at positions 9 to 86 of the family's 94-position model. From Rfam's summary of the family: This family represents the bacterial glycine riboswitch. Glycine riboswitches usually consist of two metabolite-binding aptamers domains with similar structures in tandem. The record is from RNAcentral.
GACCUCUGGAGAAUCUCAUUUUUUGAGUGCCGAAGGUGCAAGGUGUCAUCACCGAAUCUCUCAGGCAAAAGGACAGAGCA